Lagopus leucura (white-tailed ptarmigan) is the source of this 311-nucleotide long non-coding RNA. RefSeq lists it as uncharacterized. Lineage: Eukaryota; Metazoa; Chordata; Aves; Galliformes; Phasianidae. The record is from RefSeq and is a predicted model, not a curated record. The transcript is spliced from 3 exons.
AUGAGCAGAAGUCUGGAAAGAAGUGCUAAAGAAGAAACUUCUGCAGCUGGCCAUCUUCAGGAACUAACCCAUCUGUCACUGCAGAAUACCGAGAACUGGGAUCUAGACAAGACUUCUGCAGAGCUGAAGCAGCAGAAAAAUACACAUAACACUCAUGCAGAAGUUGCCUUCUCCUCAACAGAUUAUGAGACCUUCAGAGGUAGAUCUGAAAAGCAGCUCAUGGAACAAUUAGAAGAGCUGUGUGACAGGCAAUCCAGGACAUUGUCUUUACGCUGCAGGUGGCCAUCAGCCAAAAUCUCCAUUCAAGAAGA